RNAcentral lists this long non-coding RNA (304 nucleotides) under Musa acuminata (dwarf banana). RNAcentral describes it as "long non-coding RNA (MACU_LNC008058)". Lineage: Eukaryota; Viridiplantae; Streptophyta; Magnoliopsida; Zingiberales; Musaceae. The record is from RNAcentral.
AGUAAGUAAAAUGGUUUGCAGUAAAGUAAAUGGCAACAAUAGAAAUGCAAACCAAAGGACAUGCCAAUUUUAUAGUGGUUCAGUUGUCGUGACCUACAUCCACUCCGUCAAUUCCUCUUCCGUCGAGGCCAUCGGUAUCCACUAUCAAUCUUUUUUCAAUAGGCGAAGACCAACCACCUUUUACACCCCUCUUCUCCUUUUCACAGGUUUAGGAGACAACCUUUACAAGCACUCACUCCUCCUAAACAUAAUUCUAAACUUAGACUACAUGAGGGGAUUUCUCAAGUGAUUGCAACAGCGUUUC